GCUCUUUGUGGUGAACUUGGCAACGACCGGUGCCUAUAUAAAUCCACACCCUGCACCUUUCCCGGUCAUCUUAGUAGAUCGAGAGUGGAUGUACUGAUGUACAUACAUAUAUAUGAUACGCAUUGCAGCAAUUCUAUGAGAUAUUGGAGAUAAACUAACCACAACAAUGCCUAUUGAUUGCCCGGUUAUUGGUGGAAAAUAGCAUCCAACCGUUGGCCAGACUUGUCGAGGAAUGAUGCUAUGCGAAUGACAAAACUAUGCGCAAUUUAUGGCUAACGCACUGCAACCAUCCAUUGGACGCGCUUGGCUAGCACUUCCGUCCGGUUCGAUUCGAAUGUCGUGUGCAUAUCGGCUAGAAAACGCCGUGUGCACAACAGAUUCGCUUGUUGAGAGCCUGAUCCCUCCUGUGAAGGCAAACCAUGAAUUGGGUCGUUAACCUGUUGGACGACAUCCACAUUUGUCCUCUCCAAAUAAUAUAAAGUAGGUGUCCUUUGUCGAAAGCCAGCCCUUUGGGCCUAGAGUAGCCACCUCUUGUAUUCUUUCACCAUGUGUAAAUGCUCAACAUCAUUAAUAAAGAGAUCUCAGUUGAUUGCCAAUCCCAAGUUACAAGAUACAACGACAACUACUAACAUGUUAUCAAUAAUAACAAGUAACAAGAUUCUCCCUAUACCGUGGCACGCUUAAUUUCGAAAACUCAAGACACGAGGAGCUUUCAAGCAUGCAUGUCAAAAAGAAACAACAACUGCACUCUUCCAGACAGCUACAAUAGCAGCAACAGAGAGCAGUCAACCUGCGAAAGGAAACAAAGAGACGUUAAAACAAUGUAAAAUAAUACAAUUGUAUGAAUUUGUUGGGGGGCUUCUGAAAUACAUAGUCGACGUGGUAGUCAUCCAGAGGCAGAGGCAGAGGCAGAGGCAGAGGCAGAGCCCUUUGCUUUGCCGCGGAAGGUAGGGCAUGCAGGACUACUGUCUUUUGUUUUGCCUUCUGCUCUACGCUACACCGUCACGUACACGACACAACCACUCAGCCACGUAUUGACUACUGUCCAUGUCCUUGUGAGACGAUAGUGUGCUACCUCACCCAUGCCUUCGGUCCCGCCCCAACUAAAAAUGGCGAGCAACCACAACAACAUGGCAUGGAAGCAGCAUAGCUAUGUAGAGGAAGCUCCGAUAUAGGCCUAUAGGGUAAGAAUUUCGACUGGCGGGAGCAGUUGAAUUUGCUUCACCCAGCAUCACUGAUACAGCCGUCGGUGGGCAAAACUACAAAUGUUGGGGAUUUUACAUUGCCUAUGACGUCAAGGUUGAUUAUGGAGUAUCUCUAUUUGGUUGAAACAUGUUUUCACUUUGGGACCAAUAUAAAAUAAGAACGGAAUGCUACGAACCUCAUGCCAAGAUUGUGUGCAAACAACAAAAUGAAAGAGUGNNNNNNNNNNNNNNNNNNNNNNNNNAAAGAGUGUGUGUGCUUCAGAUGCAUGAAGAAGGUAAAAGUUGAACAGAAAAGAACCUUGCUGCAUGUUCGGUCAUGCACCAACCAUGCAUGUAACUCAUCUGCUUGGCAUGCUUGCCAAAACACAAAAUGACUGAGAGCACUUUGACGUACGUAAACUUGACGAGGACCGAUGCCCAUAUAAAUCCAUGCCCUCGGCCUUUCUCAACCCUACACUCGGUAGAGGUCUAAAGUAGAUAUAUUUGUCAGGUAUAUCACACGUCACAACAAUUAUAUGAGAUAUUGGAGACAAACUAACCACAACAACGCCGAUGAAUCUCUCGGCUGCGUGCUGUUGGGUUGGAAAGGAGGGUGUAGCCUGACCGGUGGUGUGAAGUCCGGCCAAUCAAGUGAAUCCAUUGUCUGUUGCCAGGAUCCAUAUUUGUCUGGAGUGUUAGAAAAUAGUUUCUUUUGCCAAAAUGAUCUCUUCGGGCUGAGAGUAGUCAUCUUUUGUAUUUCUUUCACAAUGUGUAAAUACUCAGAAUCAGCCCCUUUCCUGGUAUUCUUUCAACUUGCUUCUCUCUUUUCCUUCCAUUGUGCUUGUAGUUAUCGGAGUCUUGUAGUACCCGGCAAUGGUUGUUUCCAUUGAGCAAUUAAUAGAAGGGGUUGCUCAGUUUUUUUUUUAUUGAUUGCUAAUCUCUAAUUAAAACUAUAUAUUUAUAAUCAACACGUAUAUGUUAUCAUAACACUCUAACAAAGAGCAAAAAGUCCAUCACAUAUAUAGCAACUCUAACAGGAGUGGGGCGUU
This 2233-nucleotide long non-coding RNA is filed under the name Hordeum vulgare. RNAcentral describes it as "long non-coding RNA (HVUL_LNC013510)". Lineage: Eukaryota; Viridiplantae; Streptophyta; Magnoliopsida; Poales; Poaceae. The record is from RNAcentral.